GAGUAUUGUGGUGGCGUGCCGGAGUAAAUAACAAGCGAUCGGCCAAUGGAAAUAGUUAGAGACACCUUCGAACAAAUAAUGACCUAAUACCUCGUUGUUGCCAGGUGAGUGAAGUUGCAUUAAAAUGUUUUGGAAUAAAUGAUUUUAUGCUUGGUUGAGCCCCUCGAAAUAUUUUGUUGGUUUUUCUUUAAAAGUUGCAUGGGAACAAGCCCUUGAUGAAAUUUUUUGAUAUUAUGAGAUAUGAACAUGAUGAAUUCAUGAGUUUCUACAAUAUGUUGAUGUGUAUAUUAUACAUUAAAUGAUAUUUUUUGUAUGAUAAUUAUGACCCAGCCAUGAGCGGUGUAGGAGUGCACAUGAGCUGUGCUGACCCAGCCAUGUACGGUGUAAGAGUGCACAUGAGCUGUGCUGACCCGGCUAUGUGUGGUGUAUGAGUGCACAUGAGCUGAGACAAAGUUGAGGGGGUGAGGCCGGUGGUUAUAUAUAUGUUUAUAUAUGAUAUAUAUAUAUAUA
This 510-nucleotide long non-coding RNA is filed under the name Theobroma cacao (cacao). Its description in RNAcentral is "long non-coding RNA (TCAC_LNC003826)". Lineage: Eukaryota; Viridiplantae; Streptophyta; Magnoliopsida; Malvales; Malvaceae. The record is from RNAcentral.